AAGUACUUAGUUAAUAAAUAAUAUAAGUUUGUCGGUCUUAAGUAGCCAGGGCAGUACUUA
RNAcentral lists this transfer RNA (60 nucleotides) under Laqueus rubellus. RNAcentral's name for it is "tRNA-Asp". The record is from RNAcentral. Lineage: Eukaryota; Metazoa; Brachiopoda; Rhynchonellata; Terebratulida; Laqueidae.